Molecule: long non-coding RNA, 1880 nt
Organism: Oncorhynchus masou masou (cherry salmon)
Lineage: Eukaryota; Metazoa; Chordata; Actinopteri; Salmoniformes; Salmonidae
Exons: 3
Source: RefSeq, a predicted model, not a curated record
ACCUUUAAACUCUCUCCAAGAGGACCAUGGAAAAAAAAAAAUGUAAUUUUAUUCGCGAAUUAUGUUUAUUUUCUGAAGUAACGUUAGCUACAUUUUUUUGUUUGAGUUUUCAUUGAUCAUCAUCAUAAUCGAUCGAAAUAUCUAGCAGGGAGAGAUGUAUGCCUUCCCAAGGGAUGGCAAAGCAUUUUGCCUGAUGUGGAUCAUAAGUGGAUGUCCGAAGCAUUGUUCAGGAGGUUGGGGAAUGGGAUUCCAGAGAUGGACUUUGCCAGGGUUGACAAAAUGUGGUGGGACCACCCUCCACCACCAUCUGCAGCUCAGUAGAGAUGGAAAGAUACUUUGCCGAUCCUCUGGAUGCCCAGGAAGCUCUGGCAGGUUUGAAGUACCUCUGAUCAGACUGGUUUGGUGCUGCAGGAUCACAAGGCUGCCAUUGAGGAACUGGAGACAGGUGAUCCUGAUGUCCAAGAGGAGGAUGAUGAGGGCUUUGUGGAGCUUGUGGAAUAUCAGGACCUGACAGUUCCUGGGCUGGAGACAGCCCUGCCUCUUGUUGGCACCUGUCGUCCUACUCCCACCCCCUCUAUCAGCAUCCAGUCCCCAGCUGCAUCAGUCAGUCCCCUGUCCUCCUCUCCUGUACGGGCUACUCCACCACCUGGGCCUCUGUCCUCCUCUCCUGUACAGGCUACUCCACCACCUGGGCCUCUGUCCUCCUCUCCUGUACGGGCUACUCCACCACCUGGGCCUCUGUCCUCCUCUCCUGUACGGGCUACUCCACCACCUGGGCCUCUGUCCUCCACACUUGGGCUCGUCCUUCCCCUGUCCUACGUUCCUGUUCGGGCUAACGUUACGCCUUAGUCCAUGUACCAUGAAUGUUCUUUUUAAAGCGUGAAUUGGCUCUGGCAGUCAAAACAGCCAAAUACUCCAUCUAAAGUAUUGGGGUGGUGAAAUGUUUUGUUGUUUCGGCUCUGUACUCCAGCACUUUGGAUUUGCAAUGAUACAAAGUGCAGACUGUCAGCUUUAAUUUGAGGGUAUUUUCAUCCAUAUUACAGCACUUUUUAUUACAGUACUUUUUGUACAUAGUCCCCCCAUUUUAAGAGGAACCAAAAGUAUUGGGAUAAAUUAACUUAUGUGUAUUAAAGUAGUCAAAAGUUUAGUAUUUGGUCCGUUAUUCCUAGCACGCAAUGAUUACAUCAAGCUUGUGACUACAAACAUUUGCUCUUUGUUUUGGUGUGUUUGAGAUUAUUUUGUGCCCAAUACAAAUGACUGAUAAAUCAUGUAUUGUGUCAUUUUGGAGUCACUUACUGUAAAUAAGAAUAGAAUAUGUUUCUAAACACUUCUACAUUAAUGUGGAUGCUACCAGGACUACCGAUAGUCCUGAUGAAUUGUGAAGAAUGAGCAGCAUGUCUUGGUGGUAUGUUGAGAGGUAGCUUGUAAGUAAGCAUUUCAUUGCACUGUUUACACCCCACUGUAUUGUGUAUAUAUAUGAUGAUUAAAAUUGGAUUUGAUUUGAUUUGACAGAGAGGAUGCUUGCCAUUUCAGGAGACGGUUCUAAAAGAGUACACCAGGGCUAUAUCUCUGGAUAAGUUUGGCCAGGAGGACUGUACUGCCCCGAGUUGGUAACCCAGAAGCAAGGCAGUUCAGCCUUCUGAAGGUGGCAUUGAUGAAGAGUGAUGCAAAAAAACAUGCUGCCAAUCAGAUGACUUUGUAGUGGUCCCAGCAUCCUGUCUACACCUCUACCCGCAUCCGUCCUCUGCUCCUGUACGGACUACUCCACCACCAGCGGGUUCUCUCUCCGUGGCCUUGACACCUGUGCUCUGCUGGGCCUCUCUUCAUGAUCUCCACACCUGUGCCCGGCUGGGACUCUGUUCAUGAUCUCCACACUUGUG